GUGCUUGCUUCAGCACAUAUACUAAAAUUAGGAUGAUGCAGAGAAGAUUAGCAUGGCACCUGCACAAGGAUGACAUGCAAAUUCAUGGAGCAUUUCAUAUAUUU
RNAcentral lists this small nuclear RNA (104 nucleotides) under Microcebus murinus (gray mouse lemur). The record is from RNAcentral. Lineage: Eukaryota; Metazoa; Chordata; Mammalia; Primates; Cheirogaleidae.